This 551-nucleotide ribosomal RNA is filed under the name Cladosporium sphaerospermum. RNAcentral's name for it is "eukaryotic LSU rRNA". The stretch from base 186 to 339 matches the Rfam family "5.8S ribosomal RNA". The record is from RNAcentral. Lineage: Eukaryota; Fungi; Ascomycota; Dothideomycetes; Cladosporiales; Cladosporiaceae.
CGUAGGUGAACCUGCGGAGGGAUCAUUACCAGUGACCCCCGGCUCCGGCCGGGGAUGAUCAUAACCCUUUGCUGUCCGACUCUGUUGCCUCCGGGGCGACCCUGCCUCCGGGCGGGGGCCCCGGGUGGACACAUUCAAACUCUUGCGUAACUUUGCAGUCUGAGUAAAUUUAAUUAAUAAAUUAAAACUUUCAACAACGGAUCUCUUGGUUCUGGCAUCGAUGAAGAACGCAGCGAAAUGCGAUAAGUAAUGUGAAUUGCAGAAUUCAGUGAAUCAUCGAAUCUUUGAACGCACAUUGCGCCCCCUGGUAUUCCGGGGGGCAUGCCUGUUCGAGCGUCAUUUCACCACUCAAGCCUCGCUUGGUAUUGGGCGACGCGGUCCGCCGCGCGCCUCAAAUCGACCGGCUGGGUCUUCUGUCCCCUCAGCGUUGUGGAAACUAUUCGCUAAAGGGUGCCACGGGAGGUCACGCCGUAAAACAAGCCCACUUCUAAGGUUGACCUCGGAUCAGGUAGGGAUACCCGCUGAACUUAAGCAUAUCAAUAAGCGGAGGA